GGGCUGCUGGUCUAGUGGUAUGAUUCUCGCUUAGGGCAACUUAGACCCGAGUUUAAAGGCUUCAUGAAGAUUCCUUCUAAAUGCUUGCGUGAGGUCCAGGGUUCGAUUCCCUGGCGGCCCC
This is a non-coding RNA of Podospora fimiseda, 121 nucleotides long. The record is from the annotation of a GenBank genome assembly. NCBI's taxonomy places the organism in Eukaryota, Fungi, Ascomycota, Sordariomycetes, Sordariales, Podosporaceae.